GACGAACGCUGGCGGCAUGCUUAACACAUGCAAGUCGAACGCGCCUGUCCUCUGGGUUUCUGGGGGGUGGGUGAGUGGCGAACGGGUGAGUAACACGUGAGUAACCUGCCCCCUUCUUCGGGAUAACGGUCUGAAAGGGCUGCUAAUACCGGGUAUUCACUGGUCUCCGCAUGGGGUCUGGUGGAAAGGUUUUUUUCUGGUGGGGGAUGGGCUCGCGGCCUAUCAGCUUGUUGGUGGGGUGAUGGCCCACCAAGGCUUUGACGGGUAGCCGGCCUGAGAGGGUGACCGGUCACAUUGGGACUGAGAUACGGCCCAGACUCCUACGGGAGGCAGCAGUGGGGAAGAUUGCACAAUGGGCGCAAGCCUGAUGCAGCGACGCCGCGUGAGGGAUGGAGGCCUUCGGGUUGUGAACCUCUUUCGCCCGUGGUCAAGCCGCGACGUGGGUCGUGGUGAGGGUAGUGGGUAAAGAAGCGCCGGCUAACUACGUG
Molecule: ribosomal RNA, 488 nt
Filed under: uncultured bacterium
Lineage: Bacteria
Description: partial 16S ribosomal RNA
Rfam family: Bacterial small subunit ribosomal RNA
Source: RNAcentral